GUGGGUGCCCUGUGUGGGGAGGCUCUUUGAUUCCUGGGGAGGAAGGCUAGAGAACAGGCAGCUCUUUUCUCUCUGCUAGAAAAGAGGAGGCGGCUCCUCACAAGGUUCCUUCCCACAGCUGAGCACUGCCCACAGCUGCCCUUGCCCCUGCCUUUCCACGUUGCACAAGCCCAGCGCACGGUACCCACUGGAUAUGCCCGAGGCCUCCAGAGGAAAGGAAAGGAGGAAAAGGGACAGAAGAAAUGUUCACAGGAACUGCAUAUGGGCCUGCUACUUGUGUCAAAAUGUGACUGAACUCUCUUCCAGCAGCUUACUCUGAGGGAGGUCUGAAUGCCAUAUUGUGAGCGGCCCUGCUGAAAGACCCAUGUGGCAAGGAUCUGAGAUCAUUGGCCAACAGGCUGCAAAGAGUCCUACCAACAGCCAGGCUGGUGUUCUUGGAAGUGGAUCUUCUCCUACUCUCCUACUUGAGAUGACUGCAGCCCCAGCUAACACUUCGAUUGCAGCCUUGUUAAGAUAUCACGGGCCAGACACACCCAGCUAAGUUAUGCCUGAGUUACUAGCCCACAGAAAUGAUAAGAUAAUAAAUAUUUGCUGUUUUAAGCUGCUAAGUUUUGGGUUAAUUUGUUAUACAACAAUGGAUAACUAAUACAAGUGCAGUCAUUGAUCUCAUUGAACACACCCGUAAUUCUUUGGAAAAAUGUCUACUUUCUCACCAAACUAAAAUCCAUUAAUUCCAGUAGUUAGGUGUUUGGCAAUGCCUUUAAAACGAUGCAUAGAAGUACAUGGCCAGGUCUUUAAAAUUGCGUUGCUAGACUGAAGAAGAGCUGUCUGACUUACUGGGCUUCCCACGUUCCUGCCUUCAGUUCCUGGGUUAGUGUCACAGGUUGCGGAUUUUCCACUCCAUCUCCCAGUCAUGUCUCUGGCACUUCCCCCGCUUGGCUCCUAGUAAUCAACUUUGGCUGACCUCUAACUCUCCACCUCCUGGACCACAAAAUAAACCCAAUGCUCUGAUCAUAGCUCCUCUGCAACUAUGUUUACUCCUUGGUUUGGGAUCUGCCCAGACUCUCAUUACGCCUGCCAUAGCAUUAUCCCUCUGUCCUGUACCUACGGAUGAAGCAAACCAUUGAUUUCUCCAACUAUGCUAAGUAAGAGCAAGUCAUAUUGCAGUGUGAAUCCCUGGAAGGCAAGAUCGCCAUUCUGGUCUCUUGUGGAUAUCAAUGCUGAUCUCAGCUUCUGAUGCACGGCAGUCAAUUAAUAAAUGAUUGUUGCCUGAAAAACUGAGCCCCAAAACAAUAUUACAAGUUUAAUAUCAGUAAAGGAUUUAAUGCUUUCUAACAUGAAGAUACCAGAAGUUGCUGAUUUUUGUAUAACCCAGAGAUGGAUUUAAAUGCAGAGUGUAUGAACUUCUUCAUUCCUGAGGGAGGACUUAUGAUUUCAUGAGAAAUGCCCUAGGAAAGGGGCCGGGGAGACUGAUGGAGAAGAAGAGUUUGGGAGGGAAGCCCCAAGGACCAUCUGCCCCAUCAGAGUCACAUGCAGAGGGUCCUGCUCCUGCCGUUGGAAGUUGGCUUCCUGAGCUGCUGAACGUGCCAGUCCUGCUGACCCACUCUCAGAUAUCACAGGCACCCGCUGUGUCUGACAGAGACCUUUCUGCAAGUACACGUGCAGGUCUGCUCUGCAAAGGCGUUAUCAUCUGCAGAUUAUUGCACAGAGUGGCUACGAGCUGUGGUGUGAUCCUGUCACAGAGAGAGCCUGGUCACGUUUUCAGAACAGCAGGAAACAGGACAUUUUGAAACAUGUUUUCAGUGGUGAAAAGGACGUCUGCAAGAGGAACUGAAAGAGAAAUAAACAGUCACUGGAAACACACGCUGAAGGCGGGGAUUGGGGCACAUAUUAAUAAAAUAGCUUGAGUAAAAUUGGAUAAUGCACAAGAACAGCAAAACAGAACAAAACAAAACCCAACAACGAUGAGGAAUUCAUCAGUGAAGGGCUCGCGGAAUGUUCUGAGAAUAAUUCUUCCUUGCUAAUGCCCUCCAGUUUGCAUUAAGAUGCCCAGCAGUUCACCCUCCAGUCUGAGCCAGGCCAGCUACACAGGCUGAAAGUUUCUUAGGCCCUCGAUGACGAUCCUGGACAGGCACCCUGAACACAGCCUCCCCGGUACAUUCUUAGUGCACUCACAGAAUCUGCUGCUUCCCAGGUCUUUUGGAUGUGAAAUGAAACCCCAAGGACUGCUUUAACAAGGGGCAAAAACACAUGCAACCAAAGCCAGCAGUUAUGCCGAAGCAUCCCGGAUUCCCAUGAGAAACUCUCUGGAUCUAGUUCCUCUACGUCACAUGAGUGUGCAAACAGGAGACUACAAGAGUUUAAAAAUACUGGGACUGCUGGAGAUUUCCCUGGCCAUAUAUAGUUCACUUGUUUCACAGUAAGUUCAAAAGAGACAAAGGGAGAGGGAGGGAAAGAAAGAAGGCAACGGGCACUCAGCUUGAGUGAGUAGGGAACCUGAUUACAAUACUGUGCCACCUUCCUUCUCCCCCCAGCUCCGCCCCGGCACUCUCACCCCCAG
RNAcentral lists this long non-coding RNA (2560 nucleotides) under Homo sapiens (human). Its description in RNAcentral is "HSALNT0112775". Lineage: Eukaryota; Metazoa; Chordata; Mammalia; Primates; Hominidae. The record is from RNAcentral.